CUGUCAUGCUAAUGUGGAAAUGGAAAUUUGCUUCAUUUUUUUUCUAGUAAUAAACAGAAUGAGAACUGAACACAGUCUUGGGGGCAACAACUGGACAAAUGUGUAGGACAUCCCACCCAGCAAUCCCAAAUCAGACUAUGUUCUGUGUCAGGACACAGGUGUUGUGGAGAUGGAGCUGCCAGGAUGAUGGGGAAAGGAUGAGAGCUACCUGCUGAACUAAGGACACAGACACAUAGGGACUUCUGCACAGUCCCUACAGUAAGAGGGGAGACUGCUCAUGGGCUUUACAUUCGUGUCUGUCUUUACUGAAGUCACUCAUAAGGAUUCUGCAGGAGAAGAGCAGUACAGAGAGUUCCAGUCACAUCUUAAAGUCCUUCUACUACUGUUAUCAGGGAAGUUUUGCUUGAGAAAGGACUAUGGGAUGCAAG
Molecule: long non-coding RNA, 428 nt
Organism: Prinia subflava (tawny-flanked prinia)
Lineage: Eukaryota; Metazoa; Chordata; Aves; Passeriformes; Cisticolidae
Exons: 3
Source: RefSeq, a predicted model, not a curated record